RNAcentral lists this ribosomal RNA (522 nucleotides) under Salmonella enterica subsp. enterica serovar Agona. RNAcentral's name for it is "partial 23S ribosomal RNA". It matches the Rfam family "Bacterial large subunit ribosomal RNA", at positions 744 to 1263 of the family's 2925-position model. Lineage: Bacteria; Pseudomonadati; Pseudomonadota; Gammaproteobacteria; Enterobacterales; Enterobacteriaceae. The record is from RNAcentral.
GUUGAAGGUUGGGUAACACUAACUGGAGGACCGAACCGACUAAUGUUGAAAAAUUAGCGGAUGACCUGUGGCUGGGGGUGAAAGGCCAAUCAAACCGGGAGAUAGCUGGUUCUCCCCGAAAGCUAUUUAGGUAGCGCCUCGUGAAUUCAUCUCCGGGGGUAGAGCACUGUUUCGGCUAGGGGGCCAUCCCGGCUUACCAACCCGAUGCAAACUGCGAAUACCGGAGAAUGUUAUCACGGGAGACACACGGCGGGUGCUAACGUCCGUCGUGAAGAGGGAAACAACCCAGACCGCCAGCUAAGGUCCCAAAGUCAUGGUUAAGUGGGAAACGAUGUGGGAAGGCCCAGACAGCCAGGAUGUUGGCUUAGAAGCAGCCAUCAUUUAAAGAAAGCGUAAUAGCUCACUGGUCGAGUCGGCCUGCGCGGAAGAUGUAACGGGGCUAAACCAUGCACCGAAGCUGCGGCAGCGACACUGUGUGUUGUUGGGUAGGGGAGCGUUCUGUAAGCCUGUGAAGGUGGCCUG